UGCUUACUGUGUGUCUAGUCCUGGGCUGUUUACUGAUGAUGUAGCUCAUUUUUAUCCUCACAAUAGCUAAGUGCUGUUGCUGUUAUGUAGUUGCAGUUGAGGAAACUGAGGCUUAGAGAAGAGAAGUUACUUGGCCACAGUCAUACAGGAGAAUCGGUGGAGUCCAGGUUGGGGUUCAAGUCUCUAUCACUCCACACCCCCUGUCCUGGCUGUUAGGUUCUGCCAGACCCUGGGGCUCAGAGAGAAGUGACUGAGGGAACAGGAGCCCUUGCUAAGUCAUGUGAGGGAGAGUGUGGUGGCAGAGUCCCAGCCAGCAAGGAGAAGUAGCCCUGAGACAUGCUGCUUUUGUUUUGUAACCUCUUCUGUGAAGCACCGGUGGACUGAAGUCAGAAUGGGAGCCCUCAGGAAUCUCCUUCCUGGGCCCUGGGCCUUGUGCACCCAGGGUGGAUGGGGGUGCUCCUCCUAGGGGAGCCGGUCCGCUGGGAGACCAGCCUGCAGCUGAUCAUGGAUGUCCUCCUCAGCAAUGGGAGCCCUGGGGCUGGCCUGGCAACACCCCCCUACCCCCACCUCCCCGUCCUAGCCAGCAACAUGGAUCUCCUGUGGAUGGCUGAAGCCAAGAUGCCCAGGUUUGGACAUGGCACCUUUCUGCUGUGCCUGGAAACCAUUUACCAGAAAGUGACGGGCAAGGAGCUGAGAUACGAGGGCCUGAUGGGCAAACCCAGCAUCCUCACUUACCAGUAUGCCGAGGACCUGAUCAGGCGACAGGCGGAGAGGCGGGGCUGGGCCGCCCCCAUCCGGAAGCUCUAUGCUGUGGGUGAUAACCCUAUGUCUGACGUAUACGGCGCCAACCUGUUCCACCAGUACCUGCAGAAGGCAACGCAUGAUGGGGCGCCAGAACUAGGGGCCGGGGGCCCACGGCAGCAACAGCCCUCAGCAAGCCAGAGCUGCAUCUCCAUCCUGGUGUGUACAGGCGUCUACAAUCCCAGGAACCCACAGUCCACGGAGCCUGUCCUUGGAGGAGGGGAGCCUCCAUUCCACGGGCACCGAGACUUAUGCUUCAGUCCAGGGCUCAUGGAGGCCUCCCACGUGGUGAAUGACGUGAAUGAGGCUGUGCAGCUGGUCUUCCGCAAGGAGGGCUGGGCUUUGGAGUGAGGGCAGUGCGGUGGAGGUGAGCGGGUGAGCCUGGACCUGUGGGCGAGUCCCAUUGGCUGGGCUCAGGUCAGGGCUUGGUUCCCUUGCCACCCUUCUUGCUGCCCCAUGAGUGUGGCAUUACUGGUCACUUGGAAGAAGACAGUGACUCUUUUUCCCUGCUGGGUAGCAUUUUGUAUGGAACGGUUGGAAUUUUCUGGGCCCAGUUCCCAUGUGCCUUUCCUGGCAGUCUAACCUCAGGCCAUUCUCUUCCCCUGUGUGCCUCAGUGUCCUUCUCAUUUCAGUAGGGACUUCUGAAAUGGGGGAGGCAGUGUGGAAUACUGUGGACGUCUGUGCAGAGCCUUUGCCGGCACUGAAGGCAUGCAGCCUGUCGGCAGAGUGUCUUAACACCAGAUGCUACUUUUUACUGUAUUGUAGUUUAUU
RNAcentral lists this small RNA (1572 nucleotides) under Pan troglodytes (chimpanzee). Its description in RNAcentral is "retained intron". Lineage: Eukaryota; Metazoa; Chordata; Mammalia; Primates; Hominidae. The record is from RNAcentral.